ACCCCCCUUUUCUUCUUCUUCCUCUAGCCACCACCAUGCGUGACGACUCAAGCGGCAGCAUCGUCCACCAUUGCUGCUGCUUCCUCCAUGGCCGCGCAAGCUUCCGGCCAUCAGCUGGUUCUUCCUCGCUUGCCUCCUUGGGGCGCCAUUGGAUCAGGAAGAGGAGGCUGAAGACUUGCAGCAAGCGGUGCGCCCUUAUGUGAUGGCCCUAUCCCCACCGAGCUUUUCUUCCACCGCCCCUCCUCUCGUUCUAUUCUCGGAUGCUUCUUGCAUUAGAGGCAUUCUUUUCGUUUCGAUGAAUGAUAGUUAAGCGGUGUCUUCUUGACCUUGCAAGACUUUUCAUCGAAAAACACUCUUCUUCACUUUUCUCGUAAUAUCCUUGCCAACAUUUCUCGUCCUCUCGCGUCUAUCACUCCUCCCAUCUUCUUUGUCCCCGUCUAUCCCUCUUGAGCUUGUGACUUGUGUGCUAAGGUACUUUAGAUGUACUACUUUUGUUAUUAUAGAUGGCUAUGUAGUGAGUUGGUCUAUGUUUCUGAUAUAUCUUUUGAGUUAUGAAUCAAUUAGUUGUAUGGUCGUCACUCGUCAGUAGUUCCUUGCGUGGUGAUUGAUCUCUCUCUAUAUAUAUAUGCUCCUUGUUUUAUUGAUCCUAA
Molecule: non-coding RNA, 650 nt
Filed under: Oryza sativa Japonica Group (Japanese rice)
Lineage: Eukaryota; Viridiplantae; Streptophyta; Magnoliopsida; Poales; Poaceae
Source: RNAcentral